Molecule: unclassified non-coding RNA, 3902 nt
Organism: Acromyrmex echinatior (Panamanian leafcutter ant)
Lineage: Eukaryota; Metazoa; Arthropoda; Insecta; Hymenoptera; Formicidae
Source: RefSeq, a predicted model, not a curated record
AAGUUUUAAUAGCGCCACGUUGUCAACUGUAGCGAACGGUGAGAGACUGCUGCGAAUUAUUGCACGGGCACAAAGUCCGACUCUGGGAAGUUGUCGCCCUGAAACUGCAUAGCAUCAUUGCAACGACUACAAGAGAAUCGUUGUUAUCAUUGUCCUCAUCGUCGUUAUCGUUAUUAUUGUGGUGAGACGUUUUCGUUUAUGUUGCGAAAGGACACUUUGGGAUACGUCACUUAAGAAGACGUCAUGCUACGCUUCCUCAAACGUGGAAACGAAGAAAUCGGUAUCGUCUUGUGAUAAACCAUGGAAAUUCGUGAUCGAUAACAUGGGAGAUACAGUGGAAACAACGUAAUAACGUGGCCGCGGAUGAUGGCAGGCCAAUGAUAAACUGUUUAUUAAAAUAAAAGAGGAAACAGUUAGGACAAAGAGUCGAAGUCGGAACAGUGUGAACAGGGCGACGCGACGGACGGUAAGGGAGGCAGCACAGAGCCGUAGUAAUGGAUGAAUGGGAGUGAGCGCGGCGCACGGGAAGUGCAGGAGCGGCGGACGCGCACUUUGUGGCACGUCGUGGGAGCCUCUGGAUGUGGAGGCCGCGGCACUGGCAGCGUCAGUGGCAGUGAUGGCCCCUGCUCUGACGGAAGGUGGUCCUCAAAAGCCUGAAAACUUGCUCCCUACCCUACCAGCCGCCAGCGGCUUUCUGUCCCCCGAUCAGGCCACGCAGGUGUGCCAAAACCGUGAGAUUCUGUCCAAGUUUGUGGUGCCGGCGAACGUGCAACCGUCGAAGAUCGACGAGCAGUGCUUGCAUGGUAUCUCAAAGGACCUCAUACGCGAUGUCAUUAACUCCAAGUAUGCAAACAACCUCGACUCGCUAUCCGCGUUUACGAAUGCGUCCGACUUGAUCGGAUCAAGGAACGGUGCGGCGUGUUUGCAACAGCAGGCGGCGGCGCCGGCGGCGGCGGAGGCGGCGGAGGAGGAGGAAGAAGAGGAGGAGGACUUUGAGCGGCCGGUCACGCUGCCGGACGCCGGUCACGCCGAGGGGAAGGAGAUCGACAUUAUAAUGAACGACCCAUCUAUGGGUGAUCAAACGAACAACAUGGGUUUCUUGAAAUCGAGCGUGGACUUGCCCCUGGUGGCUAAUGAGACCGAAACGGAAGACAAUAAGAAUCUGGAUGUCGAUCAGAUCAUGGCCUUCGGUACCGAUAUCACGGCUGAGCAGUGCAACAUGGCGAAUGUCGCUGAUAUCGGGCACAACGUGGAGGAGAUUUUACAGGUCAUUAAUUCGAUAGAGGGCGCGGGGAGUACCGAGAACAUUUCUACGGACGUUGGUGAGCCAGUGCAAGGCGCUGUCGACAGCGUGGAAAUGUUUGCUAUGCCCGAGGAAGGAUUCGCGUCCUUCGAACGGGACUUACUUAACGACGUGGACGUUAUGAGUCUUUGCAACGAUAAUAUGAAUAUCACAGUGGACACGGUGGACCAGCAAAAGUCCAACAGUUUGAGAUCGCAACAGGACAUUGUGGCACAGAAACAAUUCGAGAAUGAAAGGAGAUGCGCGUUUUUAAUGAGAAGACUGAGGAAACUUCAAAUGAGAAUAAUAGGCAGACACGUGGCGGAAGAGAAUACCGGUGUUCUCGAAUUAGCCCAUCACGGAGUAAAAAAAUAUCUUCUACAAGAAUUGGUUAAUAUUGGUUCGAAAUCUAACGUAAGAAACUUUCCCGAGAUUGGUGGUAGUUUACAUUCGUUCCUGCAGAAAAUUGAGAAAAUGUGUGUUGCUCAGAGUAAUAGUGUGAAUCGUCAAAGAGUGUGUCGAUACUUUGGUGGAGGGUCACGUGAUAGCGUGGGUGGUACAUCUGGCAAUAAUGGUAAUCGUCAGCCAGUAUUUGGUACCCCUCAGGUUAAACUAAAUGGUGAAGAAGUGGAAAAUAUGGCUGGAUCUUUGUCCACGCAAUUACAUAUUUUGGAAUCUAACUUGGAUUCGGACUGUACAGCAUCCAGCAGUGGUGGAGAAAGUUGCGAUGAAAUGCAGACAUUUAACAAUUCACAACAACAACGUCUGUCCAUAUCGAAAAGAGCAGCAUGGAGAUAUGCACAGGAUCGUGCAGGUGUAGCAUCACGGUGGAUCUGGCUACAGGCACAGAUAUCAGAUUUAGAAUACAAAAUUAGACAGCAUAACGAUCUGCAACGGCAGGUUAGGGCCGCGAAAGGCCUGGUCGUUCUUGAAAAUGCAGAAACCGUUAAUGGAUACAGUGGCGCUCUACCAGGUUCCACUGGACGAUGCAAUUCGUCCGAGGGCGAAUUACCAGCUAGUAGGACGCGUCCAUUUGUAUGGAAUUUUUAUAGAAAGCGAAAGCUUUUGCAAGUCGACAGGCUACACGAAGUUUCAAAGCGUGCAGCUAAAGCGUCAACAGUGAGAUGCAAUUGUGAUCAUGUAUUGCCUGCAUGUGCUUUAUGUACAGGAAGGCUAGAUCCAAUGCAGCCACAAGAACCAAUUGAACAGCUUUCUGUACAGGAACGUGUAGCACUUGUUGAUUCCAGUUUUCAUCCGGUGUUGUCAUUCUCUGAUGAAAUUGUACAUGGAACACAUUUAGAAGCUAUUAUGAAAUCAGUGGAGUGGCAGCAGAAAAUGUUGAGAGGCAAUUUGCGAGUUACCCGAGUGAAAGAUAAAGAUAGCAACGAACGAAGAAAUAAAAAACUUCCUAAUAGAACGAAGUAUACCGCGCGAUUAAAGAAAUCAUCUUCUACUAUUCUUACAGCACGGAUUAAGAGAAAAAUGUUGAAAAAUGAAAAGAGAAAUAGACUCAGUCACGAGAGAAGCGUGCCUGGAUUGAAUAAGAAAAAAGUAUCAAAGUUGCCGACUGAGGAUGACGACGACGUUAGCGCACUUUCAAGUUCCAGCAAACACUCAUCUCCAGUGCCUUCUCCAUUGCAACAUGUUACUGCCUCGACGGAGAAAAACGUUGUUAAAGAGAAAAGUUCCAAUUCACAUGGGCGUUUGCGACAAAACUCGUACGACAUCGACAAUAUAGUCAUUCCUUAUAGUGUCGCUGCUUCAACUAGACCUGAAAAGUUACAAUAUAAGGAGAUACUAACACCAAAAUGGAGAUUGUGUGAGGAACCCGCGAAAAUGGAUGUAAAGAAUGGUGUGAUGCACAGGCCUGAUGAGGACAGUGACUUUGAAGAUUUGUCGGAUGAAACGAUCGCUCUGAGGCACGAACGUAGCGAACGCGAAGAAUACAAACGUAGGACAUAUACGCCAAACCAAACACGUAUUCGUCAUAAUCGUCGUAUCGAUAGCAGAGCAGACAGCGGUGCGAACACGCCAGAUCCUAUGUCGCCGCACGCGAGCAGUGACUUUGGUGGAAACGUGAUAUCUCCAAUCACGUCUCCACCUGCCACUCCGUCUCAGGUGCAGGACACAGAGUCAUCGGGUUUAGAUUCGCACCGAUCGUCUGCUUUACAAAAUUCUUUGCGACGUCGCACUAUGCCCUCUAUGAGACUUGGGAAAGACGAUACCACAGUCGCAUUUACCGAAGAUGAUAACGAGAUAUUGCCGUAUGAGCCAAGAGUAUUCCCAUUAUCUGAAGAAGCUUACGACAAGAUGUUGGAAGUGAUGCCGGAUGGACAUUGGCAAGCUUCAUCGACGUCUUUAUGCUCCCGCGAAGAAGAUAAAGGCGAUGAUGUACGUACGUUGUACUUGUACUAAUAUCUCUUGCAUCGAGUAUCUAAGUGAGAAAAUUUAAUUAUAUAAAAUGUAUGUGGGUGCUAGUACUGACUAUUAAUAUACACUUUGAGCCAACUUUCAUGGCUCCUCUCGAGGCUAUUUCCGGAAGCUGAAAUGGAUUCUCCCGAAUCGGAUUCGACCGAAUCGGCUUGUUGCGAUAUAGACGGUGAGGAUCCCAAUGAUCCCG